This 470-nucleotide long non-coding RNA is filed under the name Elaeis guineensis (African oil palm). RNAcentral's name for it is "long non-coding RNA (EGUI_LNC004114)". Lineage: Eukaryota; Viridiplantae; Streptophyta; Magnoliopsida; Arecales; Arecaceae. The record is from RNAcentral.
CGGUAAAAGAUCGACUCCGGAUGGCAAAAGAAUGACUCCGAUCAGCAAAAGACCGACUCUGAUCGGUAAAUAUCGACUCUAGUUGGAUAACAUCGACUGAUAACAUCGAUUUCGAUCGAUUGAGCACCGACUCCAGUCCGUCAAAGUUAAUCAGUCAAUCAAUUAUUCGAGUCAAGAAAGAAAAGGUAAGUACUCAACACUUAGAAAAAACUUACUUUCAUUGCUGUGAAAGUCAAGGGGAUUAUAAAAAGCAGACUAAGGUCCAAAUACAAAAAUAAAAGAAAAGCUACACUGACUCCCUUUCGUUGACUCCAUCGGCUAUCUCUUCAGUCGCUGUCGCUACAUCGGUCUCUUGGGCUUCGACGGCUGGCUCUUCCUCAACAGAUGCUAGAACUACCUCAGCAAUAGGCACGACUUCUUCUUCAAUGGCUAGGGCAAUGUCUUCCGAAGCCUCAACUUGAAUGCUGCUC